This 441-nucleotide unclassified non-coding RNA is filed under the name Hevea brasiliensis (rubber tree). Lineage: Eukaryota; Viridiplantae; Streptophyta; Magnoliopsida; Malpighiales; Euphorbiaceae. The record is from RNAcentral.
UCCUCUCGUCGUAGCUGAGAAGCUCGACAAGAUUUAAUCUGGACCGGUGGAUCUUAUGAACCGGGGAAAAAAAACAACAAAAGGAUGAUCGGCCUUGAAUCAGAUGAAAAACCACCACCUUCAUCACAACCGUGAAUCACGCAGCUGUUCUGGCAUAUGUCUAUGAAGUUAGAAAAUCUUUUCUCUAUAUUCCUUCUUAAUAUUAUUAUAAAAUUAUAUUCUCAAAAAAAUAAUUUGUGAAAAUAUUAAAAAAGAAAAAAAAAGAUUUGGAGUUGAUUUUCAGAGGCGUGUAGAUUAUUGGUGUGCCCAAGUUGCGGUUUGUGGUUUUGAAUUAUGAGUGUGAAUUACAGCCAAUCAAAGGAUAUGCCAUCUUUUAGUUUAUGGAGCUUUCUGAGUUUUUCUUGCGGGAAAAAUUUCACUUUCCAAGAUUUGUCAAUGUGU